GUUUUUCUAGUAUAAAAUAGUACAUUUGACUUCCAAUCAGAAAGAUUGAUAAAAAUCAAGAAAAACA
Molecule: transfer RNA, 67 nt
Filed under: Nomadacris japonica
Lineage: Eukaryota; Metazoa; Arthropoda; Insecta; Orthoptera; Acrididae
Description: tRNA-Gly
Rfam family: tRNA
About the family: Transfer RNA (tRNA) molecules are approximately 80 nucleotides in length. Their secondary structure includes four short double-helical elements and three loops (D, anti-codon, and T loops). Further hydrogen bonds mediate the characteristic L-shaped molecular structure. tRNAs have two regions of fundamental functional importance: the anti-codon, which is responsible for specific mRNA codon recognition, and the 3' end, to which the tRNAs corresponding amino acid is attached (by aminoacyl-tRNA synthetases). tRNAs cope with the degeneracy of the genetic code in two manners: having more than one tRNA (with a specific anti-codon) for a particular amino acid; and 'wobble' base-pairing, i.e. permitting non-standard base-pairing at the 3rd anti-codon position.
Source: RNAcentral